RNAcentral lists this ribosomal RNA (468 nucleotides) under uncultured bacterium. RNAcentral's name for it is "bacterial SSU rRNA". It matches the Rfam family "Bacterial small subunit ribosomal RNA", at positions 330 to 795 of the family's 1533-position model. The record is from RNAcentral.
UCCAGACUCCUACGGGAGGCAGCAGUGAGGAAUAUUGGUCAAUGGCCGGAAGGCUGAACCAGCCAAGCCGCGUGAAGGACGAAGGUGCCAAGCAUUGUAAACUUCUUUUGUCAAGGGACAAAAUCAGGCUCGAGAGCCUGACCGAGGGCACUUGAAGAAAAAGCAUCGGCUAACUACGUGCCAGCAGCCGCGGUAAUACGUAGGGUGCGAGCGUUAAUCGGAAUUACUGGGCGUAAAGGGUGUGCAGGCGGCUGAGUAAGACAGAUGUGAAAUCCCCGGGCUUAACCUGGGAACCGCAUAUGUGACUGCUUGGCUAGAGUGCGUCAGAGGGAGGUGGAAUUCCACGUGUAGCAGUGAAAUGCGUAGAUAUGUGGAAGAACACCGAUGGCGAAGGCAGCCUCCUGGGACGCAGCUGACGCUCAUACACGAAAGCGUGGGGAGCAAACAGGAUUAGAUACCCGAGUAGAA